CGUGGGUAACCUGCCCAAGAGAUCGGGAUAACACCUGGAAACAGAUGCUAAUACCGGAUAACAACAGAUGAUGCCUAUCAACUGUUUAAAAGAUGGUUCUGCUAUCACUCUUGGAUGGACCUGCGGUGCAUUAGCUAGUUGGUAGGGUAACGGCCUACCAAGGCAACGAUGCGUAGCCGACCUGAGAGGGUGAUCGGCCACACUGGAACUGAGACACGGUCCAGACUCCUACGGGAGGCAGCAGCU
RNAcentral lists this ribosomal RNA (246 nucleotides) under uncultured Lactobacillus sp. Its description in RNAcentral is "partial 16S ribosomal RNA". It matches the Rfam family "Bacterial small subunit ribosomal RNA", at positions 116 to 355 of the family's 1533-position model. The record is from RNAcentral. Lineage: Bacteria; Bacillati; Bacillota; Bacilli; Lactobacillales; Lactobacillaceae.